AUUGAACGCUGGCGGAAUGCCUAACACAUGCAAGUCGAGCGGAGUAGCAAUAAUCAGCGGCGGACGGGUGAGGAAUACAUAGGAACUUGCCUUUAGGUGGGGGAUAGCUUGGGGAAAUUUAAGGUAAUACCGCAUGAUCUCGCAAGUGCAACGGGGCGCGAGUCUACCCUUUCGAGAGGCCUAUGUCUGACUAGCUAGUUGGCGGUGUAAUAGACCACCAAGGCGACGAUCAGUAACUGGGCUGAGAGGACGAUCAGUCACACCGGAACUGAGACACGGGCCGGAAUGCUACGGGAGGCAGCAGGGGGGAAUGUUGGACAAUGGGCGAAAGCCAGAUACAGCAAUUCCGCGUGUGUGAAGGAGGCCUUCGGGUUGUACAGCACUUUAGUGAGGGAAUAAACAGCGUGGCCAAACCAAGCCUUGACGGUACCGCAAGAAUAAGCACCGGCUAACUCUGUGCCAGCAGCCGCAGUAA
Molecule: ribosomal RNA, 475 nt
Filed under: uncultured bacterium
Lineage: Bacteria
Description: partial 16S ribosomal RNA
Rfam family: Bacterial small subunit ribosomal RNA
Source: RNAcentral